UCAACUGAUUCUUUGCUUGUGUUACUCUGUUGUAUCUCACUCACAAAAGGUUCAUCAGCUUCACCUUCAUCCGAGGCAGGUAAGUUAAGGUCAAUCAUAGUCCGCAGCUGUGGUUUCUCUCCAUGAUCCUUAGUGCCAGAAGAACUGGUAGCAGGAACAGGUUCUCUGCUGAUGUUCGAGCCGGAAUUUGACAGAGGUUCAACCCAUAUUUUUUUCUCCAAGAAUGGAAUUUCCAGUGAAAGAACAUUCCCUUUAAAUUGUGCACCGUCAGUACAGUAACUGGCCUUCUCUUCUUUUACUCUCGGAGCCUCAAAGAAAUUAGCAGUUACAUUCUCACUGGACAUUGAAUUGUUGGGACAGAAGCUGGC
RNAcentral lists this long non-coding RNA (368 nucleotides) under Lupinus mutabilis. Its description in RNAcentral is "partial ncRNA". The record is from RNAcentral. Lineage: Eukaryota; Viridiplantae; Streptophyta; Magnoliopsida; Fabales; Fabaceae.